GACGAACGCUGGCGGCGUGCUUAACACAUGCAAGUCGAGCGGUAAGGCCCGUUUCGGGGGUACACGAGCGGCGAACGGGUGAGUAACACGUGGGUGACCUGCCCUCAGCUCUGGGAUAAGCCUGGGAAACCGGGUCUAAUACCGGAUAUGACUCCAUGACGCAUGUUGUGGGGUGGAAAGCCUUGUGCGGCUGAGGAUGGGCCCGCGGCCUAUCAGCUUGUUGGUGGGGUGAUGGCCUACCAAGGCGACGACGGGUAG
RNAcentral lists this ribosomal RNA (258 nucleotides) under uncultured bacterium. Its description in RNAcentral is "partial 16S ribosomal RNA". It matches the Rfam family "Bacterial small subunit ribosomal RNA", at positions 28 to 286 of the family's 1533-position model. The record is from RNAcentral.